AGCUUUGCCUGCUCUUUGUUGUCCAGUGUUUUAUUCAUAUUACAUGCAUUAUGUGAUUUUUUUUACAUUGAAAUAUCUACAGAGAAUCACGUUCCCAUUUACUUCAUAUAUGAAUUUGACAAUAUUCAACUCUCAUCAUAAUUCUAAGCUCUCCUUUGCAAUUUACCAUUGAUUACAGACAGUUGCUGGAUUAGCAGCAGAUGGGAGGCAGGUUGUUGCAUGAGCAAAGUUUGAAGCAACAAAUUAUGAAAGGUUUACAUUAUGAAUGAUGAAAAAACUAUCAAGUCAAAAGAAAAUAUGUAGACAAUAGAUAUUUAUUCUCUAUUUUGGUUUUCCUCUUAGGAAUUUAUGGAUGAAAUUUUUUAAUAGUUCUUCUAAUUCUGAUAUGAAUUGUUACUUUUUUAAUGAGAUCUUACUAUGCUUAUGUCUAAUUGGUAGUGGUAAUGUAAUGUAGGUAUUUAUGUCUAAUUGGUAGUGCUAAUGUAAUGUAGAUCUUCUAAUUCUGGUCGAUGUUGGGUUCGGUCUGGUCUGCUCUGUUGUGUUUAUGUCUUUCUUCUACUCAUCUCUCUCUGCCUUCUCGUUGCCAUGUCUGCAGAGCUUAAACUCUCCCAAUCGAACCGUAUCUUUCGCCCUAAUGAACCACUUGAAGGCAAAAUCAUCACAAAGCUUCCAUCUUCAAUCUCCCACAACGGGAUUCGCCUCACUGUCAAUGGAUCAGUCACCUUACAGGUCCGUGGUGGAUCAGCUGGAGUGAUCGAGUCUUUAUAUGGUGUUCUCAAGCCUAUCCCAAUUGUGUAAGCCAUCUCCAUUUCUCCCUUUUUUAAUAUCAUUAACAUUAGGAUAAAUACGAGUAAUUUUUAAGUGGAAUUAACAGUUAAAAGAGCAAAGAAAGAUGAAUUCUUUUAGUUAUGAACAUAGGGAAGAAAUUCAAAAGCAUGAAUUUUUCAAUUGAUUGAUUUUAUUAACACUAUGCCUCAAUAUAGGGAAUUAAUAAAAGAAAAGAAUUAUAAUUUUAGA
Non-coding RNA from Camellia sinensis, 1017 nucleotides. NCBI's taxonomy places the organism in Eukaryota, Viridiplantae, Streptophyta, Magnoliopsida, Ericales, Theaceae. The record is from RefSeq and is a predicted model, not a curated record.